UCCUACGGGAGGCAGCAGUGGGGAAUAUUGGACAAUGGGCGCAAGCCUGAUCCAGCCAUGCCGCGUGAGUGAUGAAGGUCUUAGGAUUGUAAAGCUCUUUCACCGAUGAAGAUAAUGACGGUAGUCGGAGAAGAAGCCCCGGCUAACUUCGUGCCAGCAGCCGCGGUAAUACGAAGGGGGCUAGCGUUGUUCGGAAUUACUGGGCGUAAAGCGCACGUAGGCGGAUAUUUAAGUCAGGGGUGAAAUCCCGCAGCUCAACUGCGGAACUGCCUUUGAUACUGGGUAUCUUGAGUAUGGAAGAGGUGAGUGGAAUUCCGAGUGUAGAGGUGAAAUUCGUAGAUAUUCGGAGGAACACCAGUGGCGAAGGCGGCUCACUGGUCCAUUACUGACGCUGAGGUGCGAAAGCGCGGGGAGCAAACAGGAUUAGAUACCCUGGUAG
Molecule: ribosomal RNA, 439 nt
Filed under: uncultured bacterium
Lineage: Bacteria
Description: bacterial SSU rRNA
Rfam family: Bacterial small subunit ribosomal RNA
Source: RNAcentral